UACGAAGGUGUCAAACGUUGUCCGGAAUUACUGGGCGUAAAGUGUGCGCAGGUGGCUGAGCAAGUCGAGUGUGAAAUCCCCGGGCUUAACUUGGGAAUUGCGCUCGAAACUACUUGGCUCGAGUGUGGCAGAGGAAGGUGGAAUUCCAGGUGUAGCGGUGAAAUGCGUAGAGAUCUGGAGGAACACCGAUGGCGAAGGCAGCCUUCUGGGCCAACACUGACGCUCAUGCACGAAAGCGUGGGGAGCAAACAGG
This 253-nucleotide ribosomal RNA is filed under the name uncultured bacterium. Its description in RNAcentral is "partial 16S ribosomal RNA". It matches the Rfam family "Bacterial small subunit ribosomal RNA", at positions 524 to 776 of the family's 1533-position model. The record is from RNAcentral.